RNAcentral lists this ribosomal RNA (1047 nucleotides) under uncultured Pseudomonadota bacterium. RNAcentral describes it as "bacterial SSU rRNA". It matches the Rfam family "Bacterial small subunit ribosomal RNA", at positions 154 to 1204 of the family's 1533-position model. Lineage: Bacteria; Pseudomonadati; Pseudomonadota. The record is from RNAcentral.
AAAGAUGUGCUAAUACCGCAUAUCUCUCAGGAGGAAAGCAGGGGAUCGAAAGACCUUGCGCUAAAGGAGCGGCUGAUGUCUGAUUAGCUAGUUGGUGGGGUAAAGGCUUACCAAGGCAACGAUCAGUAGCUGGUCUGAGAGGACGACCAGCCACACUGGGACUGAGACACGGCCCAGACUCCUACGGGAGGCAGCAGUGGGGAAUUUUGGACAAUGGGCGAAAGCCUGAUCCAGCCAUGCCGCGUGAGUGAAGAAGGCCUUCGGGUUGUAAAGCUCUUUUAGUCGGAAAGAAAGAGUCAUAGUAAAUAGCUAUGAUUUAUGACGGUACCGACAGAAAAAGCACCGGCUAACUACGUGCCAGCAGCCGCGGUAAUACGUAGGGUGCGAGCGUUAAUCGGAAUUACUGGGCGUAAAGGGUGCGCAGGCGGCCUUGUAAGUCAGAUGUGAAAGCCCCGGGCUUAACCUGGGAAUUGCGUUUGAAACUACAAAGCUAGAGUGUAGCAGAGGGGAGUGGAAUUCCAUGUGUAGCAGUGAAAUGCGUAGAGAUGUGGAAGAACACCGAUGGCGACGGCAGCUCCCUGGGUUGACACUGACGCUCAUGCACGAAAGCGUGGGAGCAAACAGAUAGAUACCUGUAGUCACGCCCUAACUAUGUCAACUAGUUGUCGGAUCUAAUUAAGGAUUUGGUACGUAGCUAACGCGUGAAGUUGACCGCCUGGGGAGUACGAUCGCAAGAUUAAAACUCAAAGGAAUUGACGGGGACCCGCACAAGCGGUGGAUUAUGUGGAUUAAUUCGAUGCAACGCGAAAAACCUUACCUACCCUUGACAUGCUUGGAAUCUAAUGGAGACAUAAGAGUGCCCGAAAGGGAGCCAAGACACAGGUGCUGCAUGGCUGUCGUCAGCUCGUGUCGUGAGAUGUUGGGUUAAGUCCCGCAACGAGCGCAACCCUUGUCGCUAAUUGCUAUCAUUUUAAUGAGCACUUUAGCGAGACUGCCGGUGACAAACCGGAGGAAGGUGGGGAUGACGUCAAGUCCUCAUGGCCCUUA